This 872-nucleotide long non-coding RNA is filed under the name Bos taurus (domestic cattle). RNAcentral's name for it is "long non-coding RNA NONBTAT018847". Lineage: Eukaryota; Metazoa; Chordata; Mammalia; Artiodactyla; Bovidae. The record is from RNAcentral.
GGAAUGUGGAAAAAUUCAGCUCUUAAGUUACAAGAUGAAACAUUCACAUUUGGUUUUCAAAAGAUAAUUGACCGACAUCUAUGAAUUUAUUUUGUAUCAUGCUAGUAAACAAUGUGUAUGGGUAUUUUCUCAGCUAGUUUUUGCUUUCUUUUUCUGGAACAAAACAUUAAGUGAUUGCCAGGUUUUUCAAGUGAGAGAAAAAGUUUUGCAAGAAAACCAGGAAACUUUCCUUUUUUUUUUCCCCCACUCUCCUCAUCUUCAUUAGAUCAAAUUAUUUUGUAAAGCUUAUUGUCCUCACAGGGGAGCAACCUUUGCUUUGUUAACUGGCUGGUUAAAAUAUAUUAGGAACAUCUUUACACCCAGAAACAACUUAGUCAUCAGGUAGCAAGUGAAACCAAAAUGUCAGAGGGAUUAGUGUACUUAGGAGUAUGUUGUAUGUCCUGAAAGUGAGUAGGUAAUUUUAUAAUUUAUUAGAUCAACUUUGGAGAUGAAAGAUUGGAAAUCCUACUGGUAGACAUUCACUGGACUAGCUUUGGACUGAAAUACUUCCUUAUAAUCCUUUUCCCCUUAUCUUUUCCCUCUAGUGUCCCCUAAUUUUUUCUUUAAAGUCAGCGGAGGACUGUAUGUGAAUCUUUAUUGUGGUGUAUAUGUCUACCAUUUGUCUGAUUACUUGAUGUAUUAUAUCUUGAUUUAUUUGUUGCCCCUUGAGCCAGCACAUGCCAAAUUAUAAAUGAAUCCUUCUGGCCUUUAUGAGACAGCUUCCCAGUUGUCAAGUGUUUGGCGUACGUAGGCUAUUGCCGACGCUUAACCUUAUGCUUACAUAAAGAAUUUAAACUCUGACUUAUUCAGAUAAAAUGUCUGGCUUUGUUUUA